GCCAGGCUAGGUGGCACAUGCCUAUACUCCCAGCUACUGGGGAGGCUAAGGCUGGAGGAUUCCUUGACUACACUCUUGGGCUGUAGAAUUCCUUGACUACACUCUUGCACUAUACCGAUCGGGUGUCCACACAGAGUUCUGCAUUAAUAUGGUCUCCUCCCGGGAGCGGGGGACCACCAGGUUGCCUAAGGAGGGGCAAACCUGCUCAGGUGAGAAAUGGAGCAGGUCAAAACUCCCAUGCUGAUCAGUAGUGGGAUUGUGCCUGUGAAAAGCCACUGCACUCCAGCCUGGGCAAUAUAGUGAGACCCUGCCUCAU
Molecule: signal recognition particle RNA, 316 nt
Filed under: Saimiri boliviensis boliviensis (Bolivian squirrel monkey)
Lineage: Eukaryota; Metazoa; Chordata; Mammalia; Primates; Cebidae
Description: Metazoan signal recognition particle RNA (ENSSBOG00000005316.1)
Rfam family: Metazoan signal recognition particle RNA
About the family: The signal recognition particle (SRP) is a universally conserved ribonucleoprotein. It is involved in the co-translational targeting of proteins to membranes.
Source: Rfam by way of RNAcentral